CUUGAAAAUAUUAGUGAACUGAAUGAAAAAAUUAGUGGACUUCAAAGAGAACUUGAAUGGAGAAAAGCCCUAGUUUGUCCAACGAAUGUGACCCUGGAUCCAAACACAGCAAAUGCCCAGCUCAUCGUGUCUGAGGAUGGGAAAAGCGUGAGGCGUG
Molecule: long non-coding RNA, 157 nt
Organism: Mauremys reevesii (Reeves's turtle)
Lineage: Eukaryota; Metazoa; Chordata; Testudines; Geoemydidae
Exons: 5
Source: RefSeq, a predicted model, not a curated record